UACGGGGGGGGCAAGCGUUGUUCGGAAUUACUGGGCGUAAAGCGCACGUAGGCGGCUAUUUAAGUCGGGGGUGAAAUCCCGGGGCUCAACCCCGGAACUGCCUUCGAUACUGGGGAUCUUGAGUUCGGAAGAGGUGAGUGGAAUUGCGAGUGUAGAGGUGAAAUUCGUAGAUAUUCGCAGGAACACCAGUGGCGAAGGCGGCUCACUGGUCCGAUACUGACGCUGAGGUGCGAAAGCGUGGGGAGCAAACAGG
RNAcentral lists this ribosomal RNA (253 nucleotides) under uncultured bacterium. RNAcentral's name for it is "partial 16S ribosomal RNA". It matches the Rfam family "Bacterial small subunit ribosomal RNA", at positions 524 to 776 of the family's 1533-position model. The record is from RNAcentral.